This 1058-nucleotide long non-coding RNA is filed under the name Oryctolagus cuniculus (rabbit). Its description in RNAcentral is "lncRNA (ENSOCUG00000039652.1)". The record is from RNAcentral. Lineage: Eukaryota; Metazoa; Chordata; Mammalia; Lagomorpha; Leporidae.
AUGGACAGGCCACGCAGCCACACCUCCAGUAGUCGGGCAUCUUCAGCCAUGUCCCACAACCCCAGAAUCUUGCCCCAGGUCUCCGCGUCCACGACGGAAGCCGACUGGCACCAGGGCACUCAGGACUCUGCCCAGAGGCACAGAAAGGUGCACCCCACCACCAUCCUGCUCCGCAAGUCGGAGAGCAGCCAGGCCGCCCUGGUGCCCCAGGAGCACAAGAUGUUCAUGGAGGAAGCUACAACGCCGGUGAAGCCCAGCCCCGGGACAGGCAGGGCAGGGCAGGGCCCCGACAGGCCCACCAGGUCCCUCCAGCAACGCAGUCCUGGGGGGAGGCUGGACCAGACCCGUCCAGGGCCGAGGCCAUGUCAAGCAGCUCACGCCCUCGGCCUCUGCGUGCUCCCCAGGCCCCGUCCAGAGCCCAGAAGGCCCAGCCCCCCACCUUCUGACCAUCUCUCACCCCCUUCACGCCACAGAGCUGCUCCUGCCCCAGACCGCUUUGCCCCUCACUGAGACACUAGGCAUGUUGAAGGGAGGAUGGGGCAUAGGAAAAUGGGUCAGGAGUAGAGGGGUUGGUGCAGGAGGUUAGUAGAUGGGGGGUUGGGGAGCUGAGGGAUGGAGACGUGGGUGGGUGAUGGAUGGGUGGAUGAUGGGUGGAUGGGUGAGUAGAUGGGUGGAUGGAUGGGUGGGUGGAUGCAUGGAUGAUGGAUGGGUGGAUGGAUGGGUAGGUGGAGGGAUGGAUGGAUGGAUGGAUGGGUGGAUGGAUGGGUAGGUGGAGGGAUGGGUGAGUGGAUGGAUGGGUGGAUGGGUGGGUGGAGGAUGGGCAGAUACAUGGAUGGAUGGAUGGGUGGAUGGAUGGAUGGGUGGAUGGGUGGAUGGGUGGGUGGAUGGAUGGGUGGAUGGGCAGAUGCAUGGAUGAUGGAUGGAUGGGUGGGUGAAUGGGUGGAUAGGUGGAUGGAUGGGUGGGUGGAGGGAUGGGUGGGUGGAUGGAUGGGUGGGUGGAUGGAUGGGUGGGUGGAUGGGUGGAUGGAUGGAUGGGUGGGUGGAGGGAUGGAUGGGUG